RNAcentral lists this small RNA (92 nucleotides) under Cavia aperea (Brazilian guinea pig). RNAcentral's name for it is "Y RNA (ENSCAPG00000000653.1)". The record is from RNAcentral. Lineage: Eukaryota; Metazoa; Chordata; Mammalia; Rodentia; Caviidae.
GGCUGGUCCGACGGCAGUGGGUUAUCAGAACUUACUAACAUUAGUGUCACCAAAGUUGGUAUACCACCCCCCACUGCUAAAAAAAACAUUUA